This 496-nucleotide ribosomal RNA is filed under the name uncultured bacterium. RNAcentral's name for it is "partial 16S ribosomal RNA". It matches the Rfam family "Bacterial small subunit ribosomal RNA", at positions 28 to 507 of the family's 1533-position model. The record is from RNAcentral.
GAUGAACGCUGGCGGCGUGCCUAAUACAUGCAAGUCGAGCGAACAGACGAGGAGCUUGCUCCUCUGACGUUAGCGGCGGACGGGUGAGUAACACGUGGAUAACCUACCUAUAGACUGGGAUAACUUCGGGAAACCGGAGCUAAUACCGGAUAAUAUAUUGAACCGCAUGGUUCAAUAGUGAAAGACGGUUUUGCUGUCACUUAUAGAUGGAUCCGCGCCGCAUUAGCUAGUUGGUAAGGUAACGGCUUACCAAGGCAACGAUGCGUAGCCGACCUGAGAGGGCGAUCGGCCACACUGGAACUGAGACACGGUCCAGACUCCUACGGGAGGCAGCAGUAGGGAAUCUUCCGCAAUGGGCGAAAGCCUGACGGAGCAACGCCGCGUGAGUGAUGAAGGUCUUCGGAUCGUAAAACUCUGUUAUUAGGGAAGAACAAAUGUGUAAGUAACUAUGCACGUCUUGACGGUACCUAAUCAGAAAGCCACGGCUAACUACGUG